Molecule: ribosomal RNA, 462 nt
Filed under: uncultured bacterium
Lineage: Bacteria
Description: partial 16S ribosomal RNA
Rfam family: Bacterial small subunit ribosomal RNA
Source: RNAcentral
GACGAACGCUGGCGGCGUGCUUAACACAUGCCAGUCGAGCGGAAAGGCCCUUCGGGGUACUCGAGCGGCGAACGGGUGAGUAACACGUGAGUAACCUGCCCUAGGCUUUGGGAUAACCCCGGGAAACCGGGGCUAAUACCGGAUAUGACCUGGUGCCGCAUGGUGUUGGGUGGAAAGUUUUUUCGGCCUGGGAUGGGCUCGCGGCCUAUCAGCUUGUUGGUGGGGUGAUGGCCUACCAAGGCGAUGACGGGUAGCCGGCCUGAGAGGGCGACCGGCCACACUGGGACUGAGACACGGCCCAGACUCCUACGGGAGGCAGCAGUGGGGAAUAUUGCACAAUGGGCGGAAGCCUGAUGCAGCGACGCCGUGCGAGGGAUGAAGGCCUUCGGGUUGUAAACCUCUUUCAGCAGGGACGAAGCGUGAGUGACGGUACCUGCAGAAGAAGCGCCGGCCAACUACGUG